Oncorhynchus keta (chum salmon) is the source of this 545-nucleotide long non-coding RNA. RefSeq lists it as uncharacterized. The transcript has 4 exons. The record is from RefSeq and is a predicted model, not a curated record. NCBI's taxonomy places the organism in Eukaryota, Metazoa, Chordata, Actinopteri, Salmoniformes, Salmonidae.
CACUGUCUGACGCAGACAGACAACCAGACAGACGAGGGAGAGAGAGAGAAGGAGAAAGAGACGGGUGGGGAAAGUGUUGAGGAGGGGACGGGGAGACAAGUUUAAUGGACGGAGGUCAGAGGGAGAGAGAGAGACGGGUGGGGAAAGUGUUGAGGGGACGGGGAGACAAGUUUAAUGGACAGAGGUCAGAGGGAGAGAGAGAGACGGGUGGGGAAAGUGUUGAGGGGACGGGGAGACAAGUUUAAUGGACAGAGGUCAGAGGGAGAGAGAGAGACGGGUGGGGAAAGUGUUGAGGGGACGGGGAGACAAGUUUAAUGGACAGAGGUCAGAGGGAGAGAGAGAGACGGGUGGGGAAAGUGUUGAGGGGACGGGGAGACAAGUUUAAUGGACGGAGGCCCGGAAAGAUGAAAGGAACGAGUGAUGGGGCCGACGAUAAUGGAGGAGAAGAGUGAACGAAAGUGGGAUGAGGAGGAAAAAAAGAUGUACCGGUAAGUGGAAUGAAAAUUGAGAGCGGCAGAGAGGGAUAUUGGCAGACGAGUGUGAGG